CAGUGAAAUUGAACUCGCUGUGAAGAUGCAGUGUACCCGCGGCAAGACGGAAAGACCCCGUGAACCUUUACUAUAGCUUGACACUGAACAUUGAGCCUUGAUGUGUAGGAUAGGUGGGAGGCUUUGAAGUGUGGACGCCAGUCUGCAUGGAGCCGACCUUGAAAUACCACCCUUUAAUGUUUGAUGUUCUAACGUUGGCCCGUAAUCCGGGUUGCGGACAGUGUCUGGUGGGUAGUUUGACUGGGGCGGUCUCCUCCUAAAGAGUAACGGAGGAGCACGAAGGUUGGCUAAUCCUGGUCGGACAUCAGGAGGUUAGUGCAAUGGCAUAAGCCAGCUUGACUGCGAGCGUGACGGCGCGAGCAGGUGCGAAAGCAGGUCAUAGUGAUCCGGUGGUUCUGAAUGGAAGGGCCAUCGCUCAACGGAUAAAAGGUACUCCGGGGAUAACAGGCUGAUACCGCCCAAGAGUUCAUAUCGACGGCGGUGUUUGGCACCUCGAUGUCGGCUCAUCACAUCCUGGGGCUGAAGUAGGUCCCAAGGGUAUGGCUGUUCGCCAUUUAAAGUGGUACGCGAGCUGGGUUUAGAACGUCGUGAGACAGUUCGGUCCCUAUCUGCCGUGGGCGCUGGAGAACUGAGGGGGGCUGCUCCUAGUACGAGAGGACCGGAGUGGACGCAUCACUGGUGUUCGGGUUGUCAUGCCAAUGGCACUGCCCGGUAGCUAAAUGCGGAAGAGAUAAGUGCUGAAAGCAUCUAAGCACGAAACUUGCCCCGAGAUGAGUUCUCCCUGACUCCUUGAGAGUCCUGAAGGAACGUUGAAGACGACGACGUUGAUAGGCCGGGUGUGUAAGCGCAGCGAUGCGUUGAGCUAACCGGUACUAAUGAACCGUGAGG
RNAcentral lists this ribosomal RNA (888 nucleotides) under Escherichia coli. RNAcentral's name for it is "partial 23S ribosomal RNA". It matches the Rfam family "Bacterial large subunit ribosomal RNA", at positions 2034 to 2916 of the family's 2925-position model. Lineage: Bacteria; Pseudomonadati; Pseudomonadota; Gammaproteobacteria; Enterobacterales; Enterobacteriaceae. The record is from RNAcentral.